This 468-nucleotide ribosomal RNA is filed under the name uncultured bacterium. RNAcentral describes it as "partial 16S ribosomal RNA". It matches the Rfam family "Bacterial small subunit ribosomal RNA", at positions 28 to 507 of the family's 1533-position model. The record is from RNAcentral.
GACGAACGCUGGCGGCGUGCUUAACACAUGCAAGUCGAACGGAAAGGCCCUGCUUUUGUGGGGUGCUCGCGUGGCGAACGGGUGAGUAACCCGUGAGUAACCUGCCCUUGACUUUGGGAUAACUUCAGGAAACUGGGGCUACUACCGGAUAGGAGCUCCUGCUGCAUGGUGGGGGUUGGAAAGUUUCGGCGGGUGGGGAUGGACUCGCGGCUUAUCAGCUUGUUGGUGGGGUAGUGGCUUACCCAGGCUUUGACGGGUAGCCGGCCUGGGAGGGGGGACAGGCACCAGGGGACUGAGGGAAGGCCCAGACUGCUACGGGGGGCAACAGGGGGGAAUAUUGCACAAUGGGGCGGAGCCUGAUACAACAACCCCGGGUGCGGGAAGACGGCCUUCGGGGUGGAAACCGCUUUAGGCUGUGACGAAGCGGGAGUGACGGUAAUGGGUAAAGAAGCACCGGCUAACUACGUG